RNAcentral lists this ribosomal RNA (421 nucleotides) under uncultured bacterium. RNAcentral describes it as "bacterial SSU rRNA". It matches the Rfam family "Bacterial small subunit ribosomal RNA", at positions 361 to 773 of the family's 1533-position model. The record is from RNAcentral.
AUUGUUCGCAAUGGGCGCAAGCCUGACGACGCAACGCCGCGUGGAGGAUGAAGAUUUUCGGAUCGUAAACUCCUGUCGAAUGGGACGAAUAGAUUGCGGGUUAACAGCCCGCGGUCCUGACGGUACCGUUAAAGGAAACCCCGGCUAACUCUGUGCCAGCAGCCGCGGUAAUACAGAGGGUGCAAGCGUUGUCCGGAAUCACUGGGCGUAAAGGGCGCGUAGGUGGCCCGUUAAGUGGCUGGUGAAAUCCCGGGGCUCAACUCCGGGGCUGCCGGUCAGACUGGCGAGCUAGAGCACGGUAGGGGCAGAUGGAAUUCCCGGUGUAGCGGUGGAAUGCGUAGAGAUCGGGAAGAAUACCGGUGGCGAAGGCGUUCUGCUGGGCCGUUGCUGACACUGAGGCGCGACAGCGUGGGGAGCAAAC